Molecule: ribosomal RNA, 253 nt
Filed under: uncultured bacterium
Lineage: Bacteria
Description: partial 16S ribosomal RNA
Rfam family: Bacterial small subunit ribosomal RNA
Source: RNAcentral
UACGUAGGGGGCGAGCGUUGUCCGGAAUUAUUGGGCGUAAAGAGCGUGUAGGCGGUUCGGUAAGUCUGCUGUGAAAUCCUGGGGCUCAGCCCCGGGCGUGCAGCGGAUACUGCCGGGCUAGAGGGUGGUAGAGGCGAGUGGAAUUCCCGGCGUAGCGGUGAAAUGCGUAGAUAUUGGGAGGAACACCAGUGGCGAAGGCGGCUCACUGGACCGGAACUGACGCUGAGGCGCGAAAGCGUGGGGAGCAAACAGG